UAUGUGUCUGUAUGUGUCUGUAUGUAUGUGUCUGUGUGUGUCUCUGUAUGUAUGUGUCUGUAUCAUACAGACAAACACAUGCAUACAGAGACACACACAGACACAUACAUACAGACACACAUA
Molecule: microRNA precursor, 123 nt
Filed under: Pelobates cultripes (western spadefoot toad)
Lineage: Eukaryota; Metazoa; Chordata; Amphibia; Anura; Pelobatidae
Source: RNAcentral